Molecule: ribosomal RNA, 300 nt
Filed under: uncultured Desulfitobacterium sp.
Lineage: Bacteria; Bacillati; Bacillota; Clostridia; Eubacteriales; Desulfitobacteriaceae
Description: bacterial SSU rRNA
Rfam family: Bacterial small subunit ribosomal RNA
Source: RNAcentral
AGUUGACUACGUGCACGCAGCCGAGGUAAUAAGGAGGGGGGUAGUGUUGGCGGGAAUCAUGGUGCGGGAAGCUAGUGUAGGCGGACCGGUAAGUCCUCUGUGAAAGUCGGGAGCUCAACCCUCGGAUUCCGGUGGAUACUGUCGGGCUAGAGUACGGAAGAUGCGAGUGGAAUUCCUCGUGUAGCGGUGAAAUGCGCAGAUAUCAGGAGGAACACCGAUUGCGAAGGCAGCUCGCUGGGACGUUACUGACGCUGAGACGCGAAAGCGUGGGGAGCAAACAGGAUUAGAUACCCAGUCGUC